GAUAGGUCUGUGCUACCACUCACUGUGUGGGGGAAAGUAGAGACCGAAAAAAUGAAGAAGUGGCUACAAAAAAGAGGGGGGUUUGAAAGUGAUAAGGUAGUUGUUAUGAAAACUGAAUAUGGAGGCCUCGGAGAUGAUGCCAAAACAAUGACUCACUUUGCUGAAGAGUUAAGUUCAAUAAAAAAGGAUGUGGCAACUUUGGUGGCCACUGUUGCUCGUAUGGACGAAUCGCUCUCCAAGAUUAUGUCUGAGUUAUCAUCAAAAAAUGAAGAGAAAGAAAGAACAUUGCGCACUCCAUGCCCUCAUGAACUGGAAGUUAAACUGAAUAAGGAAGAUGAUAACAUGUUUAAUAUGGGGAGUGAUGGGGGACAAAAAGACCUUGGAAAUGCUAAACCUCCAAAAAGUAGGCCAAACAAAGAAGACGGAACUCCCAACGAGCAAGAUGACAAUGUGAAAGGAUUUGCAACUGUUGAUAAAACUUUGACUCCCUCUGUUGAAGUCAUCCGUGAGAGAAAACAUGCAAAACAACCUCAGAAUGAGGUAUGAUGAGUAUUGGUUGUAGCUUGUUUGUA
Molecule: long non-coding RNA, 572 nt
Filed under: Prunus dulcis (almond)
Lineage: Eukaryota; Viridiplantae; Streptophyta; Magnoliopsida; Rosales; Rosaceae
Description: sRNA ncRNA
Source: RNAcentral